UGUAUCAUGGAGUAUCUAUCUUUUUUGCUUUCUACCUCAACCCUGCAACAUAUCACAAACAUAAAUUAAUAGUCUACUUCCAGCCACAUUUUCAUAUCACAAACAUAAAUUAAUAGCCCACUUUUCGCCUAUUUUUACAUCAUAGCUUUCUUUUUUGCCUUCUACCUCAACCCUAUAACAUCACAUGUAUCAAUUUUAGAAUUCAUCCUAAUCGAAAGAAACCACACAAUUCCCCCACCAAAAUCAAUCACAAACCAAAUUCCUCCAGCACUGCAAACAUUAUAUGUACUAGGCAACAAUUUUUAGUAAAAAAAAUUCAUUGAGGCAAUCCAUUCCUAACAAAACUUAUGAAACAUUAGGGAAUAAGGGCAUUAAUAACAUAAUGGAAAAGCACUUCUAAUUGCAGUUGCAAAAUUGAAUUUAGGGACUAAGGGUCAUCAAAUCACAAUGGAUAUCCAAGCAUGCAUUAUGAAUAAAAGUUCAUAUAUAUAUUUUUUGACAGAAAAGAGGACAUCGAUAGAGAUAAUUGUUUGAGUGGCAAUUUAGGCAACAACUAGCUUCCACAUUCAGUGACUAGGGUCAUUAAGUUCGUCGCAUCAAGACAUUUAAUCUCUUACAAAAAUUUAAAGUUCUUGAAUACACAAGAGUGAAAAAAUCGACAACCCAUCAUCGUUCCCAAUAGGUAUUGACUAAUAAGCAGAAGAUUGAAAGUUCUUGGGACAGAACACAUUUCCUCAAUUAAAUGCAUCAUCCAACAUUUUUGGCUACCAAGACAAUCCCGUACAAAAAUCAUGGAACAAAGUAUAUUUAUCAUUUUAUCCAUCUUAUUGUCGGGUUUCAAUUUAGUGAGCUCAUCAUCUAGACCAUACCAAUACUGAUAGUUGAAGAAAUAGGGUCAUAAAAAGACAAUCAACACAAUCCACAUUUUGAGCAAAAUUUCAUAUUAAAAUUGGUUUGCUUUGAAAGUCACCAUCCAACUUUUCCAUUAUGAAUACAGAAUUCAUAAUGCAUAUUCCUCAAGGGUCAUUAAGGCAUCCAUCCCUUACAAAAUUUAUGUAACAAUAGGGACAAGGGUCAUUAAGCUCAUAAUGUAAAACAUUUCUAAAGCCACCUUCCAACUUUUUCAUUAUAAAUAAAGAAUUCAUAAUGCAUUUUCCUCAAGGGUCAUUGAGGCAUCCAUCCCUUACAAAACUUAUGUAACAUUAGGGACAAGGGUCAUUAAGUUCAUAAUGCAAAAUAACUUCUAACUGCAGUUGCAAAAUUGAAUUUAAGGACUAAGGGUCAUCAAAACAGAAUAAAUAUCCAACAUGCAUUACUAUGAAUAAAUUUCAUAAUUUUUUUAAUAGAAAAGCGGACACCGAUAGGGACAAUUGCUUUUAAGAGCAAUUAAGGCAACAACAAGAUUUCACAUUGAGGGACUAGGGUCAUUCAGUAAUGUAUCCAACAUUUUUGGGGCAUCAAGACAUCCAAUCACUUGCAAAAUUUGAAAUUUCCAUUUUAUUAAAGCAGAAGAUUGAAGGUAUUUGAAUAAUAAAGAAUGAAAAAUCUAAAACCCGUCAUCGUUCCCAAUAGGUAUUUAUUAUAUACCAAUAAGCCGAAGAUUGAAAGUUUUUGGGAUAGAACACGUUUCCUAAAUUAAAGUUCAUAAUGUAAAACCACUUCUAAAGCCACCAUCCAACUUUUUCAUUAUGAAUAAGGAAUUCAUAAUGCAUUUUCCUUGAGGGUCAUUGAGGCAUCCAUCCCUUACAAACUCUAUGUGACAUUAGGGACAAGGGUCAUUAAGUUCAUAAUGCAAAAUCACUUCUAACUGCAGUUGCAAAAUUGAAUUUAGGGAUUAAGGGUCAUCAAAACAGAAUAUAUAUCCAUUCAUGCAUUACUAUGAAUAAAAAUUCAAAAAUUUUUUUAAUAGGAAAACGGACAACGAUAGGGACAAUUGCUUUGAGUAGCAAUUAAGGCAACAACGAGAUUUCACAUUCAGUGACUAGGGUCAUUAAGUAAUUUAUCCAGCAUUUUUUGUGCAUCAAGACAUCUAAUCCCUUACAAAAUUUGAAAUUUCACAUUUUAUUGAAGCAGAAGAUUGAAGGUAUUUGAAUAAUCAAUAAUGAAAAAACCGUAAACCCAUCAUUGUUCCCAAUAGGUAUUGAUUAUAAACAAAUUAAGCAGAAGAUUGAAAAUUUUUGGGACAGAACACGUUUCCUAAAUUAAAGUUCAUAAUGUAAAAUCACUUCUAAAGCCACCAUCCAACUUUUCCAUUAUGAAUAAAGAAUUCAUAAUGCAUUUUCCUCAAGGGUCAUUGAGGCAUCCAUCCCUUGCAAAACUUAUGUAACAUUAGGGACAAUGGUCAUUAAGUUCAUAAUACAAAAUCACUUCUAAUUGCAGUUGCAAAAUUUAAUUUAUGCACUAAGGGUCAUCAAAGCAGAAUAUAUAUCAAUUCAUGCAUUACUAACACAAUUCAUAAUUUAUUUUAAUAGAAAAGCCGACACCGAUAGGGACAAUUGCUUUGAGUAGCAAUUAAGGCAACAACAAGAUUUCAGGUAGUAAAUAGGCCAAAUUAUUCACUAAGUCAUUGUUAUGAGUAUAUAACAUAGUAACCACCAAUGAUCAAGAACAUGUUAUUUACAGAUGCUAAAGGAAAAUUUUUUCUCUGCAUAAGUAUAUACGAAGUUNNNNNNNNNNNNNNNNNNNNNNNNNNNNNNNNNNNNNNNNNNNNNUAUAUAUAUAUAUAUAUAUAUAUAUAUCAUUAACAAUUGAAAUUACCUUGCUUCAUAGCCAACUUUGAGACUUUUCCCAAGUAACAAUCUGAGAUAUGUGUAAGCUCCUACUGAUCCUCGAAAAAGAAGAACUGCAGGUCUAUGAUUAUUUCCAUACUGGAAAAAGAACCGACGAUCCUGCUAUUCAUACCACCAGAUUUGUUCAGCUUUAGCGAACACAAUUUCACUGUACCAUAUCCAGUUCAUAAUGUCAUAAAAAAUUAUAAACAAUUUUAACCAAUCAAAGACAGAGGGAUUAAACACCAAUGGUGCCACCACCCAUAAUGCAUGAACCAACUAGGAUUGGUCAGGGUUAUAUAAACAAAUGUGUCAGUUGCUACAGAACCGUGUCAAUAAGAAGCUUAUAUAAUGUUAUAAACAAAUCCAAUUCAUUAAGUCAUUAAAUCAUAAGAAAACACACAAUGUUGAUAAAUCUCACACUACAAAUUAGCCCUUUCUCACCUAUUAUUGCAUCAUGGGGUAUCUAUCUGUUUUGCUUUCUACCUCAUCCCUGCAACAUAUCAGAAACAUAAAUUAAUACUCCACUUCCAGCCACAUUUUCAUAUCACAAACAUAAAUUAAUAGUCCACUUUUCACCUACUUUUACAUCAUAGCUCCUUUUCCGACUUCUACCUCAGCCCUGUAACAUCACAUGUAUAUAUUUUAGAAUUCAGCCAAAUCGAAAGAAACCACACAAUGCCCCCACCAAAAUCACCACAAACUAAAUUCCUCCAGCACUGCAAACAUUACAUGUACUAGGCCACAAUUUUGAGUAACUAGGCUUAUGUUUACAACACGCUUUAAAGAUAAUGAAAAAAAAUUCAUCUCAGUGACUGUUUCACGAUUAGGGUUUUAAAAAGACAAUAAAUACCAUUGAUUAGGGUCAUAAUGCAUUUAACUCUGAGGUCAUUGUCUCAUUGUGGCAAUCCAUUCCUUACAAAACUGAUGAAACAUUAGGGAAUAGGGUCAUUAAGAACAUAAUGGAAAAUCACUUUUAAUUGCAAUUGCAAAAUUGAAAUUAGGGACUAAGGGUCAUCAAAUCAAAUUAGAUAUCUAUGCAUGCAUUAUGAAUAAAAGUUCAUAUAUAAGACAUCCAUAGAGACAAUUUCUUGAGUGGCAAUUAAGGCAACAACUAGCUUUCACAUUCAGUGACUAGGGUCAUUAAGUUCAUCGCAUCAAGACAUUUAAACUCUUACAAAAAUUGAAAGUUCUUGAAUACACAAGAAUGAAAAAAUCGACAACCCGUCAUUGUUCCCAAUAGGUAUUGAUUAUAAACCAAACAAGGCAAAUAUGUUGGAAUGAAAUUUCCAAUAAGCAGAAGAUUGAAAGUUCUUGGGACAGAAGAAGUUUCCUCAAUAAAAUGCAUCAUCCAACAUUUUCGGGCCGCCAAGACAAUCCCUUACAGAAAUCAUGGAACAAAGUAUAUUUAACAUUUUAUCCAUUUUAUUGUCGAAUUUCAAGUUAGUGAGCUCAUCAUGUAUAACAUACCAAUAUUGACAAUUGCACAAUUAGUGUCAUAAAAAGACAAUUGACACCUUCCACAUUUUAAGUAAAAUUUCAUAUUAAAAUUGCUUUGCUUUGAAAGCCACGAUCCAACUUUUCCAUUAUGAAUAAAGAAUUCAUAAUUCAUUUUCCUCAAAUAUCAUUAAGGCAUCCAUCCCUUACAAAAUUUAUGUAACAUCAGGGACAAGGGCCAUUAAGUUCAUAAUGCAAAAUCACUUCUAAAGUCACCAUCCAACUUUUCCAUUAUGAAUAAAGAAUUCACAACGCAUUUUUCUCGAAGUUAAUUGAGGCAUCCAUCACUUACAAAACUUAUGUAACAUUAGGGACAAGGGUCAUUAAGUUCAUACUGCAAAAUCACUUCUAACUGCAGUUGCAAAAUUGAAUUUAGGAACUAAGGUUCAUCAAAGCAGAAUAUAUAUUCAUUCAUGCAUUACUAUGAAUAAAAUUUCAUAAUUUUUUUAAUAUAAAAGCGGACACUGAUUGGGAUAGUUGCUUUGAGUAGUAAUUAAGGCAAGAACAAGAUAUCACAUUCAAGGACUAAGGUCGUUCAAUAAUGUAUCCAGCAUUUUUUGGGCAUCAAGACAUUCAAUCCCUUACAAAAUUUGAAAUUUCACAUUUAUUGAAGCAGAAGAUUGAAGGUAUUUGAAUAAUCAAGAAUGAAAAAUCUAAAACCCACCAUCAUUCCCAAAUGCAUUUAUUAUAAAAAAUAUGCAGAAGAUUGAACGUUUUGUGGACAGAACACGUUUCAUAAAUUAAAGUUCAUAAUGUAAAAUCACUUAUAAAGCCACCAUCAACCUUUUCCAUCAUGAAUAAAUAAUUCAUAAAGCAUUUUCCUCAAGGGUCAUUAAGGCAUCCAUCCAUUACAAAACUUAUGUAACAUUAGGGACAAGGGUCAUUAAGUUCAUAAUGCAAAAUCACUUCUAAUUGCAGUUGCAAAAUUGAAUUUAGGGACUAAGGGUCGUCAAUGCAGAAUAUAUAUCCAUUCAUGCAUUAUUAUGAAUAAAAAUUCAUAAUUUUUUUUAAUAGAAAAGCGAGCACCGAUAGAGACAAUUGCUUUGAGUAGCAAUUAAGGCAACAACAAGAUUUCCCAUUCAGGGACGCGGGUCAUUCAGUAAUUUAUCCAGUUUUUUUGGGCAUCAAGACAUCCAAUCCCUUUCAAAAAUUUGAUAUUUCACAUUUUAACGAAGCAUAAGAUUGAACGUAUUUGAAUAAUCAAGAAUGAAAAAAAUCUAAAACCCAUCAUCAUUCCCAAUAUGCAUUUAUUAUAAACCAGUAAGCAGAAGAUUGAAAGUUUUUGAGACAGAACAUGUCUCCUCAAUUAAAGUUCAUAAUAUAAAAUCACUUCUAAAGCCACCAUCCAACUUUUCCAUUAUGAAUAAAGAAUUCAUAAUGCAUUUUCCUCGAGGGUCAUUCAGGUCAUUGAGGCAUCCAUCCCUCACAAAAUUUAUGUAACAUCAAGGACAAGGGUCAUUAAGUUCAUAAUGCAAAAUCACUUCUAAAUACUGUUGCAAAAUUGAAUUUAGGGACUAAGGGUCGUCAAAGCAGAAUACAUAUCCAUUAAUGCAUUACUAUGAAUAAAAAUACAUAAUUUUUUAUAUUAGAAAAGCGGACACCGAUAGGGACAAUUGCUUUGAGUAGCAAUUAAGGCAACAACAAGACUUCACAUUCAGGGACUAGGGUCAUUAAGUAAUUUAUCCAGCAUUUUUUGGGCAUCAAGAUAUCCAAUCUCUUACAAAAUUUGAAAAUUCACAUUUUAUCGAAGAAGAUUGGAGGUUUUUGAAUAAUCAAUAAUGAAAACAUCGUAAACUGUUCCCAAUAGGUAUUGAUUAUAAACCAAUAAGCACUAGAUUGAAAUUUUUUGGGACAAUACAUGUUUCCUCAAUUAAAGUUCAUAAUGUAAAAUCACUUCUAAAAAGGCACCAUCCAACUUUUCCAUUAUGAAUAAAGAAUUCAUAAUGCAUUAGGUCAUUGAGGCAUCCAUCCCUUACGAAACUUAGUUAACAUUAGGGACAAGGGUCAUUAAGUUCAUAAUGCAAAAUCACUUCUAAUUGCAGUUGCAAAAUUGAAUUUAGGGACUAAGGAUCAUCAAAGCAGAACAUGUAUCAAUUCAUGCAUUACUAUGAAUAAAAAUUCAUAAUUUUUUUUAAUAGAAAAGCGGACACCGAUAAGGACAAUUGCUUUGAGUAGCAAUUAAGGCAGCAACAGGAUCAAGAAAUAUAGGGACAAUUGCUUUCACAUAGUAAAUGGGUCAAAUUAUUCAUUAAGUCAUUGUUAUGAGUAUAUAACAUAGUAUUAGUAACCAAUGAUCAAGAACAUGUUAUUUAUAGAUGCUAAAAGCAAAUUUUUUCUCUGCAUAAGUAUAUAUGAAGUUGGUCAAUGAACAUACAGGUGCAACAAGUAAUAUAGUAUAACAUUGACAAUUGACAUCAUAAAAAAGUUGUUAAUAUAUAUAUAUUACAUCACUAACAAUUAAUAUUACCUUGCUUCAUAGUCAAGUUUGAGACUUUUUGCCCGUAACAAUUUGAGAUAUGCGUAAGCUCCUCCUGAUCCUCGAAAAAGAAGAACUGGAGGUCUAAGAUUAUUUCCAAACUGGAAAAAGAACCGACGAUCCUGCUCUUCAUACCAUCAGCAACAGAACUGUGUCAAUAUGUAGCUUAUAUAAUGUUAUAAACUAAUCCAAUUCAUCAAGUCAUCAAAUCAUAAGAAACCACACAAUGUUGAUAAAUCUCACACUACAAAUUAGCUCCUUCUCACCUAUUAUUGCAUCAUGGAGUAUCUAUCUUUUUUGCUAUCUACAUAUCACAAACAUUAAUUAAUAGUCCACUUCCAGCCACAUUUUCACAUCAUUGACAUAAUUAAUAGCCCACUUUUCACCUAUUUUUACAUCAUAGGUCUCUUUUUAGCCUUCUACCUCAGCCCUGUAACAUGAAAUGUAUAAAUUUUAGAAUUAAUCCUAAUCGAAAGAAACUACACAAUGGCCACACCAAAAUCAAUCACAAACCAUAUUUUUCAUAUGUAUUAGGCAACAAUUUUUGAUCUAUCACAACAAAAUUGUUUAGAAAAACAACUAACAAUCAUAUAUAAAGAAGUCAAAUAUUGCAAUAGUAAUCAUUUAGGUCACUGAAAACAUGCAUAAAUCAAACUUGAUGAGGAUGAUGAAAAACCCUAAGCAAAGUGUAAAUCGAUUUAAAAUCAAAUCUGAAAUGUCAAAUCCUAAACAUACAUAACAUCAAAUUACAAAAAUCAAAACCCUAAACAGAGUUAAAAUCUCCAUGAAAUCAAAACCCUAAAAUCACUUGAUGAUAUAGAAAAUAUAUGUUCAGAACCAUAUAAUAGACAUGAAAUAAACAAGAAUUCGUACCGCAAUCAAUUGAUUCAGAAAUCGAAUUGAAAAUUUCUGAUUGAAGAAUCGCGGGAUGCCGAAGAUGCACACAACUGAUCAUUGAAGAAUCGGCGGAGAAAGGAGAACACGAGAGAUUGUGAGUUCGAAGUGUGAUUUUGGAAGAAUCGGGGAGAAUGCGAGAAAUUUUGGAAGAAUCGGAAGUGUAAUUUUGGGUGAGAUGAAAAUGGGAGAAAAAUAGAUUCUUG
RNAcentral lists this long non-coding RNA (7841 nucleotides) under Trifolium pratense (red clover). RNAcentral's name for it is "long non-coding RNA (TPRA_LNC013463)". The record is from RNAcentral. Lineage: Eukaryota; Viridiplantae; Streptophyta; Magnoliopsida; Fabales; Fabaceae.